Molecule: ribosomal RNA, 468 nt
Filed under: uncultured bacterium
Lineage: Bacteria
Description: partial 16S ribosomal RNA
Rfam family: Bacterial small subunit ribosomal RNA
Source: RNAcentral
GACGAACGCUGGCGGCGUGCUUAACACAUGCAAGUCGAACGGAAAGGCCCUGCUUUUGUGGGGUGCUCGAGUGGCGAACGGGUGAGUAACACGUGAGUAACCUGCCCUUGACUUUGGGAUAACUUCAGGAAACUGGGGCUAAUACCGGAUAGGAGCUCCUGCUGCAUGGUGGGAGUUGGAAAGUUUCGGCGGUUGGGGAUGGACUCGCGGCUUAUCAGCUUGUUGGUGGGGUAGUGGCUUACCAAGGCUUUGACGGGUAGCCGGCCUGAGAGGGUGACCGGCCACAUUGGGACUGAGAUACGGCCCAGACUCCUACGGGAGGCAGCAGUGGGGAAUAUUGCACAAUGGGCGGAAGCCUGAUGCAGCAACGCCGCGUGCGGGAUGACGGCCUUCGGGUUGUAAACCGCUUUCGCCUGUAACGAAGCGUGAGUGACGGUAAUGGGUAAAGAAGCACCGGCUAACUACGUG